AGGACAAACGCUGGCGGCGUGCAUAAAACAUGCAAGUCGGACGAGCCAAUCCCCGCAAGGGGAAAGGCUAGUGGCGAACGGCUGAGUAACACGUAGGUGAUCUGCCCUGAAGUGGGGGAUAACGACUCGAAAGAGUCGCUAAUAUCGCAUGUGACCACCGACUUCCGUUUCGGUGCUACAAA
RNAcentral lists this ribosomal RNA (182 nucleotides) under uncultured soil bacterium. RNAcentral's name for it is "partial 16S ribosomal RNA". It matches the Rfam family "Bacterial small subunit ribosomal RNA", at positions 26 to 206 of the family's 1533-position model. The record is from RNAcentral.